Molecule: long non-coding RNA, 472 nt
Organism: Cavia porcellus (domestic guinea pig)
Lineage: Eukaryota; Metazoa; Chordata; Mammalia; Rodentia; Caviidae
Exons: 3
Source: RefSeq, a predicted model, not a curated record
GUGGAGGGCGGGAGGUGGGGAGAAUUAUUAUCCCGCCUCGAAACCAAGGGACUGAGAGAGGUUAAGAGGCACUAAGUUGGGAGGAGAAGGCACAGCCCCAGCAGCCCACCCAGCGCUCCUGCCAGCUCCCGCCACCAGAUCAUGCUCCACUUAGAAACAAGUAAUUGUCAGGUAAUUGCCUACAAAUACUGGAGAAACAAGAGAUAAAGAGAAAAGAGGCUGCGCCAGAGGGCGGCACAGAAAGGAUCUCGUAUGCAAUUCAGCCUGGCCUUGAAUUCACUGUGUAGCCCAAGCUGGUCUCAGACUCGCAGCAAUCCUCUUGAAGUAUAAUCAUAGGCACCUACCAUCACACCCCACCGUCUUUAUUUUCCUCUUUUUAAUGUCUUUAUCACUGGGUAACACUUCUCUGUACUUUUUUCAAUUCCUCUUAACCUGUCAUUAAUUCUAAAAUAAAAGUUAAAUAAUGAAAGAA